This 462-nucleotide ribosomal RNA is filed under the name Pseudomonas aeruginosa. RNAcentral's name for it is "partial 23S ribosomal RNA". It matches the Rfam family "Bacterial large subunit ribosomal RNA", at positions 940 to 1400 of the family's 2925-position model. Lineage: Bacteria; Pseudomonadati; Pseudomonadota; Gammaproteobacteria; Pseudomonadales; Pseudomonadaceae. The record is from RNAcentral.
CAACCCGAUGCAAACUACGAAUACCGAAGAAUGUUAUCACGGGAGACACACGGCGGGUGCUAACGUCCGUCGUGAAGAGGGAAACAACCCAGACCGCCAGCUAAGGUCCCAAAGUCAUGGUUAAGUGGGAAACGAUGUGGGAAGGCACAGACAGCCAGGAUGUUGGCUUAGAAGCAGCCAUCAUUUAAAGAAAGCGUAAUAGCUCACUGGUCGAGUCGGCCUGCGCGGAAGAUGUAACGGGGCUAAACCAUGCACCGAAGCUGCGGCAGCGACACUAUGUGUUGUUGGGUAGGGGAGCGUUCUGUAAGCCUGCGAAGGUGUGCUGUGAGGCAUGCUGGAGGUAUCAGAAGUGCGAAUGCUGACAUAAGUAACGAUAAAGCGGGUGAAAAGCCCGCUCGCCGGAAGACCAAGGGUUCCUGUCCAACGUUAAUCGGGGCAGGGUGAGUCGACCCCUAAGGCGAG